This 253-nucleotide ribosomal RNA is filed under the name uncultured bacterium. RNAcentral's name for it is "partial 16S ribosomal RNA". It matches the Rfam family "Bacterial small subunit ribosomal RNA", at positions 524 to 776 of the family's 1533-position model. The record is from RNAcentral.
UACAGAGGGUGCGAGCGUUAAUCGGAAUUACUGGGCGUAAAGCGCACGUAGGUGGCGACGUAAGUCGGGUGUGAAAGCCCCGGGCUCAACCUGGGAAUUGCAUUCGAGACUGCAUUGCUGGAGUACGGAAGAGGAAGGCGGAAUUCCCGGUGUAGCGGUGAAAUGCGUAGAUAUCGGGAGGAACAUCAGUGGCGAAGGCGGCCUUCUGGUCCAGUACUGACGCUCAUGUGCGAAAGCGUGGGGAGCAAACAGG